UCCUGACCGUGCGAAGGUAGCGUAAUCACUUGUCUUUUAAAUGAAGACCUGUAUGAAUGGCAUAACGAGGGUUUAACUGUCUCCUUCCCCCAGUCAAUGAAAUUGAUCUGCCCGUGCAGAAGCGGACAUAAAAACAUAAGACGAGAAGACCCUAUGGAGCUUUAGGCCAAGGACCAAUCAUGUUAAGAGACUACAAAACCAAAAAGAACAAAAAAGUCAACAAACCAAAUGCAACCUCGUCCAAGUGCCUUCGGUUGGGGCGACCACGGGGAAAAAAGAAACCCCCACAUGGAAUGGAAAUUAUCUCCUUAAACCAAGAAAAACAAUUCUAAGCAACAGAACAUCUGACCAAUAUAUGACCCAGGAAAACAGAUCCUGAUCAAUGAACCAAGUUACCCUAGGGAUAACAGCGCAAUCCUUUCCCAGAGCCCAUAUCGACGAAAGGGUUUACGACCUCGAUGUUGGAUCAGGACAUCCUAAUGGUGCAGCCGCUA
Molecule: ribosomal RNA, 494 nt
Filed under: Gnathophis heterognathos
Lineage: Eukaryota; Metazoa; Chordata; Actinopteri; Anguilliformes; Congridae
Description: partial 16S ribosomal RNA
Rfam family: Bacterial large subunit ribosomal RNA
Source: RNAcentral